GUACUGUUGCUCUAAAUUAUUCUAAAACUAUAUUAGGGAUAGACGAUGAAUAAAAUUUAUAAUGCUAUUAACGUGAAUUUUAUUAGCUGUUGAGAUUUGGAUUUUUUUUUUUUGUUGUUUGUUUGUUUGUUUGUUUUGUUUUCUUUUUCUUCUGUGGGUAGGCCGCAAGAGCGGCAGGCUUUACGGGUGGAAACUGUCAAAUCUGGCAACCCACCAACAGCACCAUGUUUGUGUGAGGCGCAUGCGCCAUAGUGGAUAGAAAUUUGGCGCAUUUUCGACGCCAUACGGAUCGACUUGAAAUUGUCUCCGUGUUGAUGGGGCCUUCCUGCUGAAGGAUCAGCUAGAGUGGGUAGGCCAUGUUUGAAAUAGCUGCAUCUGAAGAGCAGCAGACGAGGAACGACGGUAACACCACGGCGUCUCAGCGGCGGUUUGUUUGGCCGAUCCGAGGAGGGGGAAAAUGGCGUCUGGAACUAACAGCAGAUCGAUUAUGGACAUACUAAGAUGAUCUUCAGUGAAGCUGAGGAUUCCCUUCAAUCAAACUGAAGAUCGCUUCCAUCGAGCUGAGGAUUCCGUACAAGGUGCCUGGCGGAUCCGGCCAACCCAUCAAAGGUUUAAGUCGAAGAACUGUUCCAAUGGCGGAUCCAGAAGACAUCUCAGGGUAGGAGCUGUUGCUGUGCUACCGCUAUUGCUGAAGGCCAACGCUAGGCCUCUUGGUGUGCUGGUUUGGUUUGUUUCUCUGCUGAGAGUCAAUGAGCUGAGAAGGAUUCUGCUGUUAAUUCUGUCUUUAGGGUUUUUGUGCUGUUUGAAACAGCUACUGUGGUCAUGUGACCUGUAGAGGUUUAUGCUAUCUAGCAUUUUGGAAUUUCAAGUUCAUAGUUGAAAGUCAGUUGUGAUGAGAAAAAAAGAUGGCUGCCAAUGAUUAGGCAAAUGCGGAUUAAGGGCUGCAGGAAGUGAUUCGGCUUAGUAAAUAUCACUGUAAUACACAUUGAUCAGAUGCCUUCGCAUAAUUAGUGAUUUUUUUCUUGUAUACCUUUUUCAUUUUUUUGUAUCUAUUUGAUAUUUAAAAUUGAAUCAAACAUUUCAAAGAUGGGGUCCAUACUUUAAUAAUUCAAAAACUCAAACAAAUUUCAUUUUUUGUGGUUAAACGGUUCAACGGCAAUUUAAAUUCAAGCAUGAAAAGAGAUUUUAUUUUUGUGUUGAAACCUGCGGCGUCGUGAUAUUUUAUUUCCUCUGGACAACGACAGUCAACAGAAAGAUCUGGAGCUGCAGGUCAGAGGUCACAGAGGAUACACUAAUUCACCAUCUUGUCUUUGCAGGUUUUCAGUUGAAAUUAACUCCCAUAUUUUCUUUCUAAAGAUAAUCCACUGGAACCUGUCUUUGAUUGUUUGCAUCUGGUUUUUCUCCUAGAUAAAUAUAAAUACGAUAAUUUUGAGCUCACGGUUGUGAAUUUAAGGCCUUGUCAAUACCACGUGGUAUAUAGACUCAGAUGGAUACUGAUCAGCAGUUUUUGUUGAGAUGGACACUCUGAAGACACCAGAUGGUGUUAGACUGGUGGGAAAUAUGGAUGUCAAGAUGGUUGUGAUGGCACUGACUGUGAACCCAAUCCCAGGAAGUGUGGUUUGCUACUUCCUGUAGCCACUCCUCAAGGCUUGAAGUCGUCGGAUAAGUUCAAGGAAUUUGGUAACAAAGGUAGGCGUUUUGGUCGUGGGUACAACAACCAGAACUUUGAUUCGCUCAACGCAAGAAAAACACGGUAGGCUAUAUGAAGGUUUGGUGUUCUGGUCUUGGGUAUAGCGACCAGAAGAGAUCUUGUAUUCUCUGGUUUGUGAUCAAAUGUGUAAUUCAAGGGUGUGAUAACUAACGAAUAGGGGAAAUGUCCUUCAGCCAGGUUUCGGGGUUUGACUUGAAACCCGUACCCAUCCUGCUGUCCUUCAUCCUGUUCAGGAAUCCUCCUGGAUCAGGUUUUCGUCUGAUUUUGCCCUUCGUCGACCCUCCAUUUAUGGACGGAAAAGCCCUUUGCCACCCCACUGAUGGACAACCUUAGUGACCUCUGACUUUACCACUGGGCUCAGCAAGUUUUCUGGAGGAAAACCAGGAAGUGUUCCCAGGUGAUCAGGUCGGGCAAACUCUCUCAGCAAUCUUCCUUAAAGAAUGCUGCAGGUAUUUUACUGUUGAAGCAAUUUAGUGUGAGGUUUUGAAAACCAUUCGUUCUGAGUCAUUAAAGACCUGAAACCUGCACCCGUCUUGCUGUCGCUGUCUUCCUGGUUCGCCUUGUUUCCGACUCUGAUUUUUCCUUUGCAGCUUCAGGACUAAAACUGAUCCUGUCUGCAUAAAUCUAAUGAAUUAACGGUUGAAGGUCAUAUGUAGGGUUUUGAUUUUUAAGAUUAUUUCCAGUUCUUGGAGAAAAUAACUGUACCUCUGGUUAACCUGUCACAGUAAGUUACAUGAUUUUCUUUCUACCAAAACCAAAAUGAUUGUUUUUGUAAAGUGCUUUAAGACAUUCGUUGUGAAUUAGCGCUGUAUAAAUAAACAGAAUUUAAUUGAAAAUGUGAAAAGCUAAAGGAAAAUGAAAGAAAUUUGUAACGUCUGUCUGUAGUGAUGAAAUAUUUGGAAAAUAAAGGAACUUCAAGUAAAUGUACUUUAA
Poecilia latipinna (sailfin molly) is the source of this 2644-nucleotide long non-coding RNA. RefSeq lists it as uncharacterized. The record is from RefSeq and is a predicted model, not a curated record. NCBI's taxonomy places the organism in Eukaryota, Metazoa, Chordata, Actinopteri, Cyprinodontiformes, Poeciliidae. The transcript has 2 exons.